RNAcentral lists this ribosomal RNA (207 nucleotides) under uncultured bacterium. RNAcentral's name for it is "partial 16S ribosomal RNA". It matches the Rfam family "Bacterial small subunit ribosomal RNA", at positions 568 to 774 of the family's 1533-position model. The record is from RNAcentral.
CGCGUAGGCGGCUUUAUAAGUCAGAUGUGAAAUCCCACGGCUUAACUGUGGAAGUGCAUUUGAAACUGUGAGGCUUGAGUAUCGGAGGGGAGUGUGGAAUUCCCGGUGUAGAGGUGAAAUGCGUUGAUAUCACAAGGAACACCUGUGGCGAAAGCGGCUCACUGGGUCUUUUCUGACGCUGAGGCACGAAAGCUGGGGGAGCGAACG